Molecule: long non-coding RNA, 562 nt
Organism: Cyprinus carpio carpio
Lineage: Eukaryota; Metazoa; Chordata; Actinopteri; Cypriniformes; Cyprinidae
Source: Ensembl
CACAUUUGGAAUUCAGCCCUCAGAUUAAAAGUGCAGGUAUGAUGUUGAGAUCCAGCUUUGACACAUGGGACAGUUGAAGGCCUCACGCAGAAUUCAUAAAACAUUGCAAACAUCUGAUGCUUGAGGAGGCAAGGCACAAUAUUAAAGGAAAUAACUUACUAUUGCAUCGAAAUAUAAGGUGGAUAGCCAGCAUGGAUAUUUCCUUGACUGCAGACCAUGAAAAUUGAUCAGAAUUCUGUGUAAUUGUGUGGGAGUGACUCAGUAUUACUGAGAAAAUGAGCUCUGUUUGAGAAGUGAUUUCUGCUGAUAACACACAUCACACUUAUCUGAAACUAGCAGUGAAAGCCAGGUUUCGAUGUGACCGAGAGCUCACUAGUGGUCCUUCUGAUGUUGGAGCUCAAUAUCUGCAGUCUGGAACAUCACGCCUCUCUCAGUUCUCAUAAAGCAGACUUCAGUUAUGUAAUCUCUCUCUCUCUCUCUCUCUCUCUCUCUCUCUCUCUCUCUCCUCUCUCUCUCUCUCUCUCUCUCUCUCUCUCUCUCUCUCUCUCUCUCUCGGACUCAG